This 78-nucleotide microRNA precursor is filed under the name Rattus norvegicus (Norway rat). RNAcentral describes it as "mir-3473 microRNA precursor family". It matches the Rfam family "mir-3473 microRNA precursor family". The record is from Rfam by way of RNAcentral. Lineage: Eukaryota; Metazoa; Chordata; Mammalia; Rodentia; Muridae.
ACCAUUGAGCCAUCUUUCCAGCCCUUAUAAUCACUCUUAAAAAUUAAUUUUAGGGGGUUGGAAAGAUGGCUCAGUGUU